Suricata suricatta (meerkat) is the source of this 315-nucleotide long non-coding RNA. RefSeq lists it as uncharacterized. The record is from RefSeq and is a predicted model, not a curated record. The transcript has 3 exons. NCBI's taxonomy places the organism in Eukaryota, Metazoa, Chordata, Mammalia, Carnivora, Herpestidae.
UGAUAAUGGAAGGGUGCGAUUGGUAUGCCUGUCCAUGGAGCCGGAACUGGGAAUCUGUUUCCAUUGUCUAUUACUUACCAGCUGAGUGACUUUUGGCAAACCACCUAACCUCUCUGUUCCGAUGCCUUCAACUGUAGGUCCUGGAGCACAUGGGCACUCCAUUAGAGACUGCAUUCCCAGCUUCCUUUGCAAGUAGAGAUGGCCAUGUGACUCAGUUUGGUAACUAAUGAUUGCCGAUCAUGUGGACUGCCCUCUCCUCUCACUUAAAUGUUUCCCUGUAAAGACUCACAGUGCCAUCCAGGAAAAGAAACUAAU